UGCGGGGUAGGACAGCCGGGAGUGUCCGCCGGGCUCAUGACUCGGAGAUCGCCGGUUCGAAUCAGCCCCCGCAA
RNAcentral lists this transfer RNA (74 nucleotides) under candidate division MSBL1 archaeon SCGC-AAA259A05. RNAcentral's name for it is "candidate divison MSBL1 archaeon SCGC-AAA259A05 tRNA". It matches the Rfam family "tRNA". From Rfam's summary of the family: Transfer RNA (tRNA) molecules are approximately 80 nucleotides in length. The record is from Rfam by way of RNAcentral. Lineage: Archaea; Methanobacteriati; Methanobacteriota.